UGCCAGCAGCCGCGGUAACACGAACUGCGCGAACGUUAUUCGGAAUUACUGGGCGUAAAGCGCACGUAGGCGGAUUAGUCAGUCAGAGGUGAAAUCCCAGGGCUCAACCCUGGAACUGCCUUUGAUACUGCUAGUCUUGAGUUCGAGAGAGGUAAGUGGAAUUCCGAGUGUAGAGGUGAAAUUCGUAGAUAUUCGGAGGAACACCAGUGGCGAAGGCGGCUUACUGGCUCGAUACUGACGCUGAGGUGCGAAAGUGUGGGGAGCAAACAGGAUUAGAUA
Molecule: ribosomal RNA, 279 nt
Filed under: uncultured bacterium
Lineage: Bacteria
Description: partial 16S ribosomal RNA
Rfam family: Bacterial small subunit ribosomal RNA
Source: RNAcentral